Molecule: ribosomal RNA, 403 nt
Filed under: uncultured bacterium
Lineage: Bacteria
Description: partial 16S ribosomal RNA
Rfam family: Bacterial small subunit ribosomal RNA
Source: RNAcentral
AUUGAACGCUGGCGGCAGGCCUAACACAUGCAAGUCGAGCGAGCGGCGGACGGGUGUGUAAUGUAUGGGGACUGCCCGAUAGAGGGGGAUAACUACUGGAAACGGUGGCUAAUACCGCAUACUAUCGGAUAACCCAUAUGGGUUUAGCUAGUAGGUUGGGUAAAGGCUCACCUAGGCGACGAUCUCUAGCUGGUCUGUGAGGAUGAUAAGCCACACUGGUACUGAGACACGGCCCAGACUAAAACGGAGGCAGCAGUGGGGAAUAUUGCACAAGGGGAGCAGGCCUGAUGCAGCCAUGCCGCGUGUAUGAAGAAGGCCUUAGGGUUGUAAAGUAAUUUCAGCGGGGAGGCGUUACCCGAAGAAGAAGCACCGGCUAACUCCGUGCCAGCAGCCGCGGUAAUAC